Long non-coding RNA from Aquila chrysaetos chrysaetos, 669 nucleotides. RefSeq lists it as uncharacterized. The transcript is spliced from 3 exons. NCBI's taxonomy places the organism in Eukaryota, Metazoa, Chordata, Aves, Accipitriformes, Accipitridae. The record is from RefSeq and is a predicted model, not a curated record.
ACUCCCUCUUCUCUCUUCCAGGGUCACUCUUGACCCCUCUAAGCGGCAGAGCUCUAAUAGGUGCGUCUCUGGCACCCCCACGCCUCCAGGAGCCAAAAUCAGGUCGCAGACGAACCUGAGAGAAUCGGGGGACCUGCGCUCACAAGUUGCCAUCUACCUUGGGAUCAAAAGGAAGCCGAACCCCGGCUGCUCCGAUGCCCCUGGCAUGUGAAGGUGACAAGCACCUGGCCAGCUGAGGCAGUGAUGGCGGCGCUGCCAGGCAUGGGGUGCCACCCUCUUGGCUGGCUGCCGCGCGUGCCAGCCCCAGCCCUUUUUGCUCUCCUGCACCCACGACUGGGGCCCCAGCGAGCACUUCUGCCAUUUUGAGGCCGAGGUUUGCCAGCUCCAGCACCUCGGCCCUCCACGGUGUGCUCUUCGCGUCCGGCCCCCUGGCUGUGCAACUGCUGGCCGCUUUCCCGUGCCAAACUAUGACACGCCUGGGCUUGGUCAAAAAGCUGCCGCUCCUAGUGGACGCCACCAGAGGCCUUGGGACCUCUUCCUUGAGGGCUGCAUUCCUCCUGGGGUAUGCACCGGAUCUGGGCACCCAGGGCUGCACUGGUGUUAGGACCUCCCCAAGGAUGUACUGGAUCCAGCACCCAGGGCUGCAUUGGUGCUGGGAACCCCCCCCCC